This 128-nucleotide small RNA is filed under the name unclassified sequences. Its description in RNAcentral is "LOOT RNA". It matches the Rfam family "LOOT RNA". Rfam says of the family: Latescibacteria, OD1/Parcubacteria, OP11, TM7. Lineage (Microgenomates, aka OP11) The record is from Rfam by way of RNAcentral.
GACCUAACCCUUGAUUUAUCGAGAUAUGGUCGUAAAUCCUAUCCUACAUAUUAAUGGUCUUCCGACCAGUACUUGUAGGAUAGGUCUAUGCUCGAAAGGGUGUAGUGGCGUCUCCGUAAGGAUUCGUC